Molecule: long non-coding RNA, 246 nt
Filed under: Elaeis guineensis (African oil palm)
Lineage: Eukaryota; Viridiplantae; Streptophyta; Magnoliopsida; Arecales; Arecaceae
Description: long non-coding RNA (EGUI_LNC022525)
Source: RNAcentral
CCAAGGUUUGUCCAUACUUUAUUGAACCGGACAGUAUGGGGCAUACCGUACCAUACUGGUUCAAUACUAGUAUGCAGUAUGGGGAGCGUACCGACACUCGUUAUGCCAAACCAGCCUCAUACCAAUACAGCAAUAGGUUGGCACUAGUGCAGGCCCAGUACCAAGACAGCAAACCUUGCUGUGGUCUCUUAUUAGUCUGAAAAAUCUCCUAGAAGAAUGGCAAAAAUCUGUUGCCCAACACAAAUG